This 796-nucleotide ribosomal RNA is filed under the name uncultured bacterium. Its description in RNAcentral is "bacterial SSU rRNA". It matches the Rfam family "Bacterial small subunit ribosomal RNA", at positions 8 to 798 of the family's 1533-position model. The record is from RNAcentral.
AGAGUUUGAUCAUGGCUCAGAUUGAACGCUGGCGGCAGGCUUAACACAUGCAAGUCGAGCGGAGAUGAGGUGCUUGCACCUUAUCUUAGCGGCGGACGGGUGAGUAAUGCUUAGGAAUCUGCCUAUUAGUGGGGGACAACAUUCCGAAAGGAAUGCUAAUACCGCAUACGUCCUACGGGAGAAAGCAGGGGAUCUUCGGACCUUGCGCUAAUAGAUGAGCCUAAGUCGGAUUAGCUAGUUGGUGGGGUAAAGGCCUACCAAGGCGACGAUCUGUAGCGGGUCUGAGAGGAUGAUCCGCCACACUGGGACUGAGACACGGCCCAGACUCCUACGGGAGGCAGCAGUGGGGAAUAUUGGACAAUGGGGGGAACCCUGAUCCAGCCAUGCCGCGUGUGUGAAGAAGGCCUUAUGGUCGUAAAGCACUUUAAGCGAGGAGGAGGCUACUGAGACUAAUACUCUUGGAUAGUGGACGUUACUCGCAGAAUAAGCACCGGCUAACUCUGUGCCAGCAGCCGCGGUAAUACAGAGGGUGCGAGCGUUAAUCGGAUUUACUGGGCGUAAAGCGUGCGUAGGCGGCUUUUUAAGUCGGAUGUGAAAUCCCCGAGCUUAACUUGGGAAUUGCAUUCGAUACUGGGAAGCUAGAGUAUGGGAGAGGAUGGUAGAAUUCCAGGUGUAGCGGUGAAAUGCGUAGAGAUCUGGAGGAAUACCGAUGGCGAAGGCAGCCAUCUGGCCUAAUACUGACGCUGAGGUACGAAAGCAUGGGGAGCAAACAGGAUUAGAUACCCCGGUAGUCCAA